RNAcentral lists this long non-coding RNA (1278 nucleotides) under Homo sapiens (human). RNAcentral describes it as "non-protein coding lnc-ERICH1-19:19". Lineage: Eukaryota; Metazoa; Chordata; Mammalia; Primates; Hominidae. The record is from RNAcentral.
GGGGCCGGGCUGAACCAUGGCGGGCGGCGGCAUGGGGGCGGUGGGGCUCCGCGGGCAGCCUGGUUGCGCUGCACCCGGACGGGGCCGAGGGGACCUGAAAGCUGCGGCAGAGCCUGACCGCGCCGUUCUCCAGAAGAGCCCCGGCCGCGGCUGAGUCGCGCUCCGGGUGUGGACGGAGCCGGAGCCUCCCCGGGGCUCGGUGAGGACACAGGGCCCAAGCCCCGGACCUUCAAGUCUUGACCGAGCGCAUCCCCGGCCCUUCUGCGCCCACACCUGAGUUUUUGUCUGUAGGAGUUUCCGCAGUUUGCUAAGAAUCGACAUCUAGAGGAGUACUCACCACUUAAUUGAUGAUCAAUACACGUUCCUUGAAAGAACCGAUAGCAUGCGAUCGAUACAGAGCAUCUGCACUGGGAUUGUCCGCCCCGCCUGUCAGGGAGGCCUCGGGGGCUAAUGGAGCUGAGGGUAUAGUCGGCCUUGGACCCUCGCUUUUUUCCUUUCCUGUACUAUGAAGAUAACUGCCUUAUCUCCCCCUCAGGACUGUUUUGGGGAUUAAAUAGGACGUUUAAAUUACCAACGCUCUUUGAAAUAAACAUUUCAAAAUUAUUAUAACCCUUUAGUACAUGUGGGAAAACGUUGACAUUCAUGUUCAAGUUUAUUUUUCUGCUGGCUCAUUUAGGUUUGUUGAAGCCUUGAGUCCCUAGGAUUGUCUAAGAACAUGGGUAAAUGUGUGUGGAGGCCUCCCUGGAGGCCAGAGAACUGCCAGCAGCCUUCAUGAUGUUAGGGGAACAGGAACCUAGGAGAGCCAGGGUGACAUCGUUUUAAAAUCAACAACCCAUCUUGGCGGGCGCGGUGGCUCAAGCCUGUAAUCCCAGCAGUUUGGGAGAAAAAAAUUAGCCGGGUGUGGUGGUGGGCACCUGUAAUCUCAGCUACUCAGGAGGCUGAAGCAGAAUUGCUUGAACCCAGGAGGCAGAGGUUGCAGUGAGCUGAGAUCACGCCAUGGCACUCUAGCCUGGGCAACAAGAAUGAAACUCUGUCUCAAAAAAAUAAAAAUAAAAUAAAAUAAACUCCAUCUUAAAACCAGUGAAACCACCAUUGCAAAAUUAUAACUGAGACAGUGAGAGAUCUGACCUAACCAACUCCAUCCUACUUUUAACCUCCAAACUGUCCUUGUUCAUUCCUGGGUGUAGGCCAAACUAACUUUGGAAGAAACUUAGUUUAUGGUUUCCCGAAACAAAUCCUUUUCUUGUCUGGAGACUAGACUGCCUUUGUAGGACUAAC